ACUUUUGGCACAUUUAAUAACUAGCUACUGUACUUUGUUGCUGUGCUUCACAUUUUGAACUCAAAGGAACAUUUUCUGUCCACUGGUUUGCUAAAUUUCUACAGUAAGUACUCCCUCUGUAAACUAAUAUAAGAGCGUUUAGAUUACUAAAAUAGUGAUCUAAACACUCUUAUAUUAGUUUACGGAGGGAGUACUUCGCUGCCCUUGUCGUGAACUGAAUCUGGUAUAUCAAAGGCCCUCUUUGUUUGAGCCACAUAUAUUCCCGAGAAUCACUGGCUUUCUGUGACUUCCGAUUCCUGAGUAUCAGAAGUUCGUUGUUUAUUUACCCUACUGUGGACAGCUAAAGGAGUUGUGGAGGUUGUGAAAUGUCAGUAACGUCCCCGAGUGUUGAGUGUGAUGUUUAUAUGCAGAUUAAAGCACAAGUUAGCUGUUUUGACUUGAUAAAGUGAGAAUUGGCUAAUUUGUUUUCUAGAAAUAUCAAGAUGCUCUUGCAUACGAAAUGCACCAACCAUUAGUUUUAGAUAUGAAAUGUG
This 533-nucleotide long non-coding RNA is filed under the name Triticum aestivum (bread wheat). RNAcentral's name for it is "long non-coding RNA (TAES_LNC006966)". The stretch from base 108 to 194 matches the Rfam family "MIR1120/MIR1122 microRNA precursor family". The record is from RNAcentral. Lineage: Eukaryota; Viridiplantae; Streptophyta; Magnoliopsida; Poales; Poaceae.